Steinernema glaseri is the source of this 84-nucleotide non-coding RNA. Lineage: Eukaryota; Metazoa; Nematoda; Chromadorea; Rhabditida; Steinernematidae. The record is from Rfam.
CCAACCGUAGCUCAGUUGGUAGAGCGGAGGACUGUAGUGUUGUCAGAGAUCCUUAGGUCGCUGGUUCGAAUCCGGCUGGUUGGA